CAUCAUCGGUAGCACUGUGCUGAUGAGUUCCAAAAAGGGCGAAACGGCUGUCCAUAGUUACGGUUGUCUGAGCUU
Molecule: non-coding RNA, 75 nt
Organism: Paramuricea clavata
Lineage: Eukaryota; Metazoa; Cnidaria; Anthozoa; Malacalcyonacea; Plexauridae
Source: the annotation of a GenBank genome assembly